UUUAGAAACACUCUCAAAUCUCUCUCAAUCACUCAAAAUCGUUGCUGAAAGUUCAGGUUCGAGCAGAUUCAUCAAGCUUUACGAAAAUGGGCAUAACUUCUUCAUUUCUUAUCCGUUUUGGUCCAUAUUUUUUCCAGAACGCUUGGCUUGACCUUGGCCUUGAUUCUAGGGGUGUUUCACAGCAAACAAGUCCCUGGAACUCCGGCAAAAAGGCUUCAAAGUCCACUGUUUAAGUUUGUUUUCAUUAAUCUUUGUUUAGACAUGAGUUUAACUCACUCAAACCUAUGUCCUUAUGCUUAUAACCACUCCUAUUGUUAGUUAGGCUUAAAAACAAGGUUGAGACAUACAAAAUCAGAGGAUAAUCCUCAAAUACUUUCUGUUUUGUUUAGGGUUUUGGACCCACAAGUCAUGUUCAAGCUUCAAGCUUGAUGAAGGAGUGGUUAUGGAUCAACUUGGGUUAUCCAACAUAGAAUCCCCACAUGAUUUGAUGAUUUCUCAUAGUAUAGUUGUUCUUAUUAUUGUCUUAAUAUUGUUCAAGACCCUCCUUGUUUGUUUUUACAUCAAGUGUAGUGGUGAACACAUAAGAGGUGCCUAAAUGGGAGCUUGUUCUUCCUACCUCCUACAUGACUUCUAUGACACAUUUGAGGUACCUAAAUGAGGAUUAAAUCUUCUACCUCAUGCUUGAAAUACUUGUAGUAAGGACUUAUUAAUAUAUACUUCAUAACCUAAAUAAUAUUUAUGUACAUUCGAACCUUUGAUGUUGAAUUCAUGUUCAUUUGUCAAAGUAGUAGGACAUCAUCUAGGACCUAAACCUUGUUAUGAUUCUUAUGAGUGUUCAACUCAUGAAAACAUUAUUAUAACCCUCGUGGUUACCAAGUGUCAUACAAGUGUUACGUGUUGAAGAUGAUUAUGUUGAUAUAAUACUUUCAUGUUGUUUUAUUCCGAAUCUCGACUCUAAGCAUACUUGAACUUUAACCCUUAUACAUUCGGACUCUAAAUCUCUACUCGUCAACAAUUGGAUAAUCGGAAAUCAUAUGCAAACUUUGUUUAGCGAUGAUGUUGGUGAUGCAUGGAAUCUAGUAGGAUGCUUAGAUACACACUCUAAAAUUUGUAUUCAUAUUGUAUAGUAUUUCAUCAUUCACGUUGUUGUAUUUUGCUUCAAAUCCUUGUAAUUUUAGAAAUGAAAUGAAAUUAUUG
Molecule: long non-coding RNA, 1197 nt
Filed under: Helianthus annuus (common sunflower)
Lineage: Eukaryota; Viridiplantae; Streptophyta; Magnoliopsida; Asterales; Asteraceae
Description: hypothetical non coding rna
Source: RNAcentral